This 702-nucleotide ribosomal RNA is filed under the name Triticum aestivum (bread wheat). RNAcentral describes it as "partial small subunit ribosomal RNA". The record is from RNAcentral. Lineage: Eukaryota; Viridiplantae; Streptophyta; Magnoliopsida; Poales; Poaceae.
AUGCAAGCACCUCACUCACAAGUCACCACAGCAGCAAGCCAUAGACAGACUCAAGUACGUACUGUAGUUACGUACAUCGAACACCACAAUUUGUGGAAUCACACCCAGGGGAACCGAUCGAGCAGAUCAUACAAGCGGCAAGGCAACUUACCGCUCGCACGUCUGCACCGGCAUACGUCGCAAUCAGCACGGGCUGGCCUCGCCGACCUCGAUGGCCACGGCCGGCUCGGGCAUGGUCACGGCAGCAACGGCGACGCCGGCCCUGGGCACUGUGACGAUGAGCUGCGCGCCGCCGUCGUCCAUGGCGGCCCUGACCUGGCCCAGGGCGGCGUCGUCGGGGAGGUGGAACCUGCCGAAGAAGGUGGCGACGCUGCGCUCGACGUGGUGGCGCGUCUCGCUCUUGGCCUCCCUCCGCAGGUUCCGCUCGCCGGCGAUGACCAGCACCUUGCCCUCCUCCUCCACCUCCACCUUGACCUCCUCCUUGGUGACGCCCGCGGGGAGCCUGGCGCUGAACACGUAGGCCUCCGCCGUCUCCCGGCUCUCGAUGUAGGUGUCGGCGAACGCCGUCGUGUCGCUGGCCAGCCAGGCGUCGGUGCCGCUGGACGCCGUGGUGCCGAAGAUGCUGCCGAAGGGGUUCCACGAGUCCAGGGCCAGCGUGUCGAAGAACCUCACCAACGACAUCCUCUAGAUCGGUUUAGCUAG